CUCUGAAACAACAGAGCAACAUCUCACACUGUUGUUCAGUACAUAUAUUGGUUUUUCAUAGCAUUCUGAACAUAAUACAGUAAACUUUUUUUUUUCCAGGAAAAAGAGCCGUAUCCUAUGCUUUUAAACAACCUUCGUUUCUCUAGUCAUGAAAUUAAUAUGCAGAAAUGGAAUUACACUGGUGAAGCUCACAGGAAGAGGCUUUGAGGAAAGACAGAGGCCAAAAUGACUUCUGAAGUGUCUGUACACUUAAAGAGGAAGUCUCUGAAACCAAAACCAAAUAAGCAUAAGGAUAUAAGACAUCAGCAGUCUCGUAACAUUCCACCCAAACAUACUGAAUCGCUCUUUUGUGCCAGCGAUGCUCCAGCCACACCAGCCCUUGUUUCAUCUGCCUGGACCACUCCCCCCUUUCUUUCACAGAGCAAUCUCUCUCAGCUCACUCAUUGGAGAGAGAAGCCUUCUCUGACCAAGCAAUCUAAAUAAAGUAGCAGCGCCCGGGUCGCUGUCCAUCUGCUACUCUGUUUUAUUGUCUUUUGCUAUACUUCUACUUGUCUGAAGGUAUUUGGUUUUUGUUUACAUAUUGUCCAAUAAGUACCAGUUGAAUGCCUGAAGGAACUGAUGAGUAUGUUAGGUCAGGUUCCCUAGAAGCAGAGCCCGAGACAUGAAUGCUUCUGCAAAGGAUUUAUAGAGGGAAUGCUUUCCACAGAAACCUGUAAGGGUCUGAGGAAAGCAGAAGAGGGAAGAAGAAGCUAAUUAAGAAUGUGAAGGCUAGGGCCGCUUGGGUGACUCAGUUGGUUAAGCAUCCGACUUUGGGCGUCAUUAUCUUACUGCUUGUGGGUUCAAUGUGAGUUCAAGCCCCGCAUCGGGCUCAGAGCCUGGAGCCUCCUUCAGAUUCUGUGUCUCCCUCUCUCUCUGCCCCUCCCCUGCUUGCUCUCUCUCUCUCUCUCUC
Long non-coding RNA from Neofelis nebulosa (Clouded leopard), 949 nucleotides. RefSeq lists it as uncharacterized. The transcript is spliced from 2 exons. Lineage: Eukaryota; Metazoa; Chordata; Mammalia; Carnivora; Felidae. The record is from RefSeq and is a predicted model, not a curated record.